ACAGUGUCUGGUGGGUAGUUUGACUGGGGCGGUCUCCUCCUAAAGAGUAACGGAGGAGCACGAAGGUUGGCUAAUCCUGGUCGGACAUCAGGAGGUUAGUGCAAUGGCAUAAGCCAGCUUGACUGCGAGCGUGACGGCGCGAGCAGGUGCGAAAGCAGGUCAUAGUGAUCCGGUGGUUCUGAAUGGAAGGGCCAUCGCUCAACGGAUAAAAGGUACUCCGGGGAUAACAGGCUGAUACCGCCCAAGAGUUCAUAUCGACGGCGGUGUUUGGCACCUCGAUGUCGGCUCAUCACAUCCUGGGGCUGAAGUAGGUCCCAAGGGUAUGGCUGUUCGCCAUUUAAAGUGGUACGCGAGCUGGGUUUAGAACGUCGUGAGACAGUUCGGUCCCUAUCUGCCGUGGGCGCUGGAGAACUGAGGGGGGCUGCUCCUAGUACGAGAGGACCGGAGUGGACGCAUCACUGGUGUUCGGGUUGUCAUGCCAAUGGCACUGCCCGGUAGCUAAAUGCGGAAGAGAUAAGUGCUGAAAGCAUCUAAGCACGAAACUUGCCCCGAGAUGAGUUCUCCCUGACUCCUUGAGAGUCCUGAAGGAACGUUGAAG
Molecule: ribosomal RNA, 598 nt
Filed under: Escherichia coli
Lineage: Bacteria; Pseudomonadati; Pseudomonadota; Gammaproteobacteria; Enterobacterales; Enterobacteriaceae
Description: partial 23S ribosomal RNA
Rfam family: Bacterial large subunit ribosomal RNA
Source: RNAcentral